Molecule: ribosomal RNA, 881 nt
Filed under: Fomitopsis juniperina
Lineage: Eukaryota; Fungi; Basidiomycota; Agaricomycetes; Polyporales; Fomitopsidaceae
Description: Antrodia juniperina partial large subunit ribosomal RNA
Rfam family: Eukaryotic large subunit ribosomal RNA
Source: RNAcentral
CCCCUAGUAACUGCGAGUGAAGCGGGAAAAGCUCAAAUUUAAAAUCUGGCGGUCUUUGACCGUCCGAGUUGUAGUCUGGAGAAGUGCUUUCCGCGCUGGACCGUGUACAAGUCUCUUGGAACAGAGCGUCAUAGAGGGUGAGAAUCCCGUCUUUGACACGGACUACCAGUGCUUUGUGAUGCGCUCUCAAAGAGUCGAGUUGUUUGGGAAUGCAGCUCAAAAUGGGUGGUAAAUUCCAUCUAAAGCUAAAUAUUGGCGAGAGACCGAUAGCGAACAAGUACCGUGAGGGAAAGAUGAAAAGCACUUUGGAAAGAGAGUUAAACAGUACGUGAAAUUGCUGAAAGGGAAACGCUUGAAGUCAGUCGCGUUGGCCAGGACUCAGCCUUGCUUUUGCUUGGUGCACUUUCUGGUUGACGGGCCAGCAUCGAUUUUGACCGCUGGAAAAAGGUUGGGGGAAUGUGGCACCUUCGGGUGUGUUAUAGCCCUCAGUCACAUACGGUGGUUGGGAUCGAGGACCGCAGCACGCCUUUAUGGCCGGGGUUCGCCCACGUUCGUGCUUAGGAUGCUGGCGUAAUGGCUUUAAACGACCCGUCUUGAAACACGGACCAAGGAGUCUAACAUGCCUGCGAGUGUUUGGGUGGAAAACCCGAGCGCGUAAUGAAAGUGAAAGUUGAGAUCCCUGUCGCGGGGAGCAUCGACGCCCGGACCUGAACUUCGGUGAUGGCUCUGCGGUAGAGCAUGUAUGUUGGGACCCGAAAGAUGGUGAACUAUGCCUGAAUAGGGUGAAGCCAGAGGAAACUCUGGUGGAGGCUCGUAGCGAUUCUGACGUGCAAAUCGAUCGUCAAAUUUGGGUAUAGGGGCGAAAGACUAAUCGAACCAUC